CCCGGCCUGAGGAGCAGGGGAGGGAGCUUCGAGACUAGGGCAGCGCGAAAAGUAGGUGGUUUGGAGAGUUGGGGGUUUCCAGAAGGCGUUUACUGACUGAUCCAAAUAAAACAUCUGGUGUGUUCCAGCUUCCCUGAACAUGGUGAGCAACAGCUGCCUCCCCAUACCACCUCUGGGAUCCUCUGACAAGCCAGAUCCAUGCCUGGCCCAAGACAAGCUGCCUUGGCUUCCCUGCAGGUACCUGCCCUGGGAGGGACAUGGCUACUGGGCAGUACAAGAUGUGGACUCUCCUCCUUCAGGGCUCUGAUUACAAGAUUGACCUAGAGACAAGAUAUAAUAAGGAUGAGGAACUUCUCCUGAACAGAUAGAUGUCUGCUCAAAGUCUCCUUCUUCCAAAAACAGAGCGCUGGUUCUUAGAGGCUGAGGAUGGUGGUACACUCACAAACCUCAAGAUCCACCUGGUUGAAUAUGACUGCAGGGAUCUUCAAACAUCUUAUACACCAAAACCCAAAGAAGAGAAGCCUGCCCACUGCAAUUUGCUGGAAGUACUUGUAUAAAUGGCUCAGUAUGGCUUUUAUUCUUUGAUGCUUAUAAGGGUUUUUCUGGCAUUCACGGAGUUACAUGCCCAUUCAUCUGUCAAAACUGAAAGAGAAAUCUUUCUCAAGAAAGUGUUCAAAGGCACAUGUCUAAAAAAAUGCAACAUAAUAAGACAAGUGAAAAAUGCUAGGUCCUAAAUAUUCUAAGCAUUCUGGGAAGCAUGGGUACAUUUUAAAACUGAUUGCUGUUCUAAUUCUCUGUGUAUCAUAUUCAUAGCUUUUAAAAAAAUUACUGAUUUCUUUGAUGAAGAGUUUAGCAAAUGCAGAAAUUGAAUCUUAAUUUCAGAAUGCUUUGAUUGCUUCUAAUUGCUUGUUGUUUUUUCACAUGUCUGAGUUUAAUAUCACAGAAAGCUUUUGAAUCAUUAGCUCUGGAAAAAUAACCCUGUCACUUAAUCACACAAUAAGUGAAUUACAGGCAUCCAGGCCAGCCAAGGGACCUGACCUGGAAGUUCCUUUCUAAGACUCAACUGGGAGAUUCAUCUGUCUUCAGCCAUGCAAAUCAUUUCUCAUCUUAGUGGAAAAUUUCAGGAUGGCGUCACAGCUAUAAAUUUCCAGGCUCAUCUGGAAAUUCAUUGCCCCAUCCGCAACUGAACAUUCUAGGCAAUGGAAGAAGCUUUGAGUUAUAUUCACUCUCUGAAACAAGGGACUCUUGAAGGUCUUGAGAUGGGAAGGAAAGAGGCAGGACACAAAUGCUACAUAAUGAAGAAGGGGCGCAGCGGUUGGGAUGCCAUGAAGACCAGCUGGAACCAGCUGCAAACAAUGUGGCUGUGAGAAUAGCCCAGGCAUUGACCUUUAGCUCAUUAUACCUUCCUUGUAACACUAAAAAUCACUCCCCCUUACACCUGACAGUUCCCAGGAAGACCAAAAAGGCCAGAAAGUUCCCAGUGGCCCAAUUCCUGGGAAAUCCCCAAAAUAGCAAGAAUAUUCCUCCCACUCAGUAGCCUAUGAAAUUAGCCCAUAAAAACCUAUGGCCCCAUUCCUGGGACCACUCUCACUUCCUGAGACGUCCACAUUCUGCCUAUAGAAUGUGCAUGUCUAAAUAAAUUUGUUUUCCCUUUACUCUGGCUGGCUCUUGAAUUCUUUCCUGCCAAAAACCCUCACUUGGCAAUCGGUCCUAAGACUCCUGCAGGUCCCAUGACGUGACAUUUCCCUCUCCUGCAACAGUCUUACCUUGCCAGCCUCCCCUUCUCCCUCUCCCCGCCUGCCUCGCCACCCCCACCCCCACCCCUGCAGCACUAACAGUAUGAUGCAGAGGGAGCCUUAAAAUGACCUGUACCGCAGGUUGUGGUUAGCCCUUAGCUUAAGAACACAAACUUUGGAAUUAGACCUGACUUCAGGACUUCCCACUUUUAGUUGUAUACCCUAGGGAAAGUUAUUUACUCUCUCUGAGUCUCCAUUUCUUCAUCUAAAGAAUGGAGGAAAUAAUCUCAACCUCAAAUGGCAUAAGAAUCAAACAAGAUGAUAUAUAUAAAGCACGUACCCUAGUUCUCGGCACGUGAUAAGCGCACAUGAAAUGGUAGCUAUUAACGUUAUUGCCGUUGUUGUUUCUAUUUUUUUUUUUUUGAGAUUGAAGUACAGUUGAUUUACGAUGUUGUGUUAGUUUCUGGUAUACA
Aethalodelphis obliquidens (Pacific white-sided dolphin) is the source of this 2209-nucleotide long non-coding RNA. RefSeq lists it as uncharacterized. The transcript is spliced from 4 exons. The record is from RefSeq and is a predicted model, not a curated record. Lineage: Eukaryota; Metazoa; Chordata; Mammalia; Artiodactyla; Delphinidae.